GCCUAUGGCUAUGCCACACCUGAUCUUAUGAAGUUAAGCAGGGUUGGGCCCAGUUAGCAGUAGGAUGGGAGACUGCCUGGGAAUACCAGGUGCUGUAGGCU
This 101-nucleotide ribosomal RNA is filed under the name Crocodylus porosus (Australian saltwater crocodile). The record is from RNAcentral. Lineage: Eukaryota; Metazoa; Chordata; Crocodylia; Crocodylidae.